Armigeres subalbatus is the source of this 753-nucleotide long non-coding RNA. RefSeq lists it as uncharacterized. The transcript is spliced from 3 exons. The record is from RefSeq and is a predicted model, not a curated record. NCBI's taxonomy places the organism in Eukaryota, Metazoa, Arthropoda, Insecta, Diptera, Culicidae.
GUUUCUAAACGUGGGUUUUUAUGUAGCUGUAAAAACAUUACCCUCAUGGUUGUCACAGAGUCCCUGUUGGCCACCAGAAAAAAAUCUCUGUUCACCGCACAGUGUCAUUUCCGUAGCCGUGAACGACAGCAGCAUGAAAAUAAUGUGUCUGUUAUUUAAAAUUCUUGGUAUUCGACUAUUCGAGGCCUCUUUUCCAACGAGUCUUCCAGUACAGAAAAAAAUGGAAAGAGGGGGCGAAUCAAGAUUUUGUGACCAGAAGAAGCCUUGAAGCCUAUGAAAAGUAGAAGAAGUCAAAUUUGAAAAACUAUUUACAGCAUUGUGCCACGGUUGUAUUUGUCUUUUUUACAAGCUAAACAUUUUUUUUAAAAUAGCUGGUUUGAAAUCAAAUUAGCAUACGUAUUGGGCUUAUAGACUAUAAAUAGAGUAAAAUUACUCUCGCACUUGGUUUUCUGAUGGCAAUGUUGAAACUAAUGUGUGGAAUACUCUCUUCCGGAUGUUCUUUGCUGACGUCUAAAUGAAACGGUAGAACUACCUGCAAUAUAGUUAAUCAGCAAGUUAUACAUGAUGGUUUCAUCUAUCAAUAGAGGCUGCCUUUCUCGACUAUCAUCAAAUGAUGGUACAUUUUCAUUCGCAAGAACCCUUAUAAUCGAGUUGGAUUGAAGUAUCUCCUAUGUAGCAUGGGUUAGUAGAAAAUGUUACAAGUUCAAAAGUAAAGAUUAAAAUCAGAUGAAAUAUAUAGAUCGCAAUUCUAUA